UACGUAGGGGGCUAGCGUUAUCCGGAAUUACUGGGCGUAAAGGGUGCGUAGGCUGUCUUUCAAGCCAGAAGUGAAAGGCUACGGCUCAACCGUAGUAAGCUUUUGGAACUGUAAGACUUGAGUGCAGGAGAGGAGAGUGGAAUUCCUAGUGUAGCGGUGAAAUGCGUAGAUAUUAGGAGGAACACCAGUAGCGAAGGCGACUUGCUGGACUGCAACUGACGCUGAGGCACGAAAGCGUGGGUAGCAAACAGGAUUAGAUACCCUGGUA
This 268-nucleotide ribosomal RNA is filed under the name uncultured prokaryote. RNAcentral describes it as "partial 16S ribosomal RNA". It matches the Rfam family "Bacterial small subunit ribosomal RNA", at positions 524 to 792 of the family's 1533-position model. The record is from RNAcentral.